GCCGGGAGUUGUGGCGUGCUCCUGUAAUCCAGCUACUUGGAGGCUUGAAUAGGAGGACGGCUUGAGGGCGGGGGUUCUGCCUUCGGGCGUGCCAUGUCGAUCGGGUGUCCGCACUAAGCCCGGCAUCAAUAUGGUGAUCUUGGGGGAGCCCGAGAUCUCCAGGUUGACUAAGGAGAGACGCACCGGCUCAGGGGGGAAACCCAGCAGGCAAAAGUCUCCGUGUCGCGCAGUAGUGGGAUCGCACCCGUGAAUGGGCGUUCGUUGGCAGCCCGUCCGAUAUAGUCGGACCCUGUUCUUU
This 298-nucleotide signal recognition particle RNA is filed under the name Biomphalaria glabrata. RNAcentral describes it as "Metazoan signal recognition particle RNA". It matches the Rfam family "Metazoan signal recognition particle RNA". Rfam says of the family: The signal recognition particle (SRP) is a universally conserved ribonucleoprotein. It is involved in the co-translational targeting of proteins to membranes. The record is from Rfam by way of RNAcentral. Lineage: Eukaryota; Metazoa; Mollusca; Gastropoda; Planorbidae.